UAAGGAAUAUUGGUCAAUGGAGGCAACUCUGAACCAGCCAUGCCGCGUGCAGGAAGAAGGCCCUAUGGGUCGUAAACUGCUUUUGAACAAGAGAAAACCCCGGUACGUGUACUGGGUUGAUAGUAUUGUUAGAAUAAGCAUCGGCUAACUUCGUGCCAGCAGCCGCGGUAAGACGAAGGAUGCAAGCGUUAUCCGGAUUCAUUGGGUUUAAAGGGUGCGUAGGCGGACUGAUAAGUCAGUGGUGAAAUCUCUCGGCUUAACCGAGAAACUGCCAUUGAUACUGUUAGUCUAGAGUACAGAUGAUGUGGCGGAAUAUGACAUGUAGUGGUGAAAUACUUAGAUAUGUCAUAGAACACCGAUUGCGAAGGCAGCUCACAAAACUGUAACUGACGCUGAGGCACGAAAGUGCGGGGAUCAAACAGGAUUAGAUACCCACGUAGUCCCUGAGCGGGCUGGCAAGGCGCAU
Molecule: ribosomal RNA, 466 nt
Filed under: uncultured bacterium
Lineage: Bacteria
Description: bacterial SSU rRNA
Rfam family: Bacterial small subunit ribosomal RNA
Source: RNAcentral